This 1019-nucleotide ribosomal RNA is filed under the name Microbacterium lacticum. Its description in RNAcentral is "bacterial SSU rRNA". It matches the Rfam family "Bacterial small subunit ribosomal RNA", at positions 411 to 1441 of the family's 1533-position model. The record is from RNAcentral. Lineage: Bacteria; Bacillati; Actinomycetota; Actinomycetes; Micrococcales; Microbacteriaceae.
ACGGCCUUCGGGUUGUAAACCUCUUUUAGCAGGAAGAAGCGAAAGUGACGGUACCUGCAGGAAAAGCGCCGGCUAACUACGUGCCAGCAGCCGCGGUAAUACGUAGGGCGCAAGCGUUAUCCGGAAUUAUUGGGCGUAAAGAGCUCGUAGGCGGUUUGUCGCGUCUGCUGUGAAAUCCCGAGGCUCAACCUCGGGCCUGCAGUGGGUACGGGCAGACUAGAGUGCGGUAGAGGAGAUUGGAAUUCCUGGUGUAGCGGUGGAAUGCGCAGAUAUCAGGAGGAACACCGAUGGCGAAGGCAGAUCUCUGGGCCGUAACUGACGCUGAGGAGCGAAAGGGUGGGGAGCAAACAGGCUUAGAUACCCUGGUAGUCCACCCCGUAAACGUUGGGAACUAGUUGUGGGGUCCAUUCCACGGAUUCCGUGACGCAGCUAACGCAUUAAGUUCCCCGCCUGGGGAGUACGGCCGCAAGGCUAAAACUCAAAGGAAUUGACGGGGACCCGCACAAGCGGCGGAGCAUGCGGAUUAAUUCGAUGCAACGCGAAGAACCUUACCAAGGCUUGACAUAUACGAGAACGGGCCAGAAAUGGUCAACUCUUUGGACACUCGUAAACAGGUGGUGCAUGGUUGUCGUCAGCUCGUGUCGUGAGAUGUUGGGUUAAGUCCCGCAACGAGCGCAACCCUCGUUCUAUGUUGCCAGCACGUCAUGGUGGGAACUCAUGGAAUACUGCCGGGGUCAACUCGGAGGAAGGUGAGGAUGACGUCAAAUCAUCAUGCCCCUUAUGUCUUGGGCUUCACGCNUGCUACAAUGGCCGGUACAAUGGGCUGCAAUACCGCAAGGUGGAGCGAAUCCCAAAAAGCCGGUCCCAGUUCGGAUUGAGGUCUGCAACUCGACCUCAUGAAGUCGGAGUCGCUAGUAAUCGCAGAUCAGCAACGCUGCGGUGAAUACGUUCCCGGGUCUUGUACACACCGCCCGUCAAGUCAUGAAAGUCGGUAACACCUGAAGCCGGUGGCCCAACCC